CCACAUUCCUGCUCCUGGACUGUGUUGUCUGCGGAUGGACAGACAGCCGGACAGAGCUCCUUUUUCCUUUUUUUUUGCUUUUAGUUAGUUUUAGCUAGCUGAGACAAAGAAGUUCCCUGGACUGUGAUUUUUUCCUUUUUUCUUGGACCUGUUCAAGCCUGCUCUGCACUGAACACCCAGAAGAGCACCGGCAGCUCCACCUGUGGCCCCUGGCCGGGCCUGGGCCGCGGCGUUUCCGGCACCAGAGACUGAUCAGAGACUGAGUGAGCCAAGCUGCAACCCGGGGAGGGGACUGUUCUGAGUUUGCUUUCUUUGGAUCAGUGAGAAGUUUUAUUGUUUAAUAUUGUUUGGUUUCUAUUGUUUAAUAAACAGGUUUCUUUCCACUUUUCUCCAAGGAGAUAUUUUCUCCCAAACCGGUUGGAGGGGGGAGGGGCAGUUGAAUUUGCUUUUGUAGAGAAGCCCCUUUGGGGGUUAUCUCCCAAACUUGCCCUAAACCAGGACACUUGGUUCCUAAGAUAGACAAGGGUCUGCACAAGGCUCAGUUUUUGAACUUUGGGAUAAAACAAUAGGUUCAAUGUGGGAUAUGUGGUAGGCAUUUCGGGAAGGCUGCAUCUCGGGGUUCGCUGUUGUUUGUCUCUGCCCCGAUACAGGAAAAGGUGGUUCCGGGUGGUCGCACAGUGAAGGACGAGUCUGGACUCUCAGGUUUUCUGUCUUCAAUCUUGUUUAUUAAUUCUUAUCUACAAUAUUUUCUCUCUGCCCAGCCGAGGUCCGCUCAGCAGGACAGCCAAGUGCACUUUCCCCCGCCCACGGGACAGUUGUGUCUUUUAUAGUAAAAAUUACAUCUAUCAUAUUUACCUUUAAUUCCUAAUACUUUUCACCCUUCUUGAGAAGUGUACCUUCACCAUGAACCAAUCCAAAAGUGCCAACAUCACCACAGAAAAUGGAAGACAUUAAGAAGAAAGAAGAACCCAGGACCACGCCCUGAAUCCUCCAUCUUGUCUUCAUGACCCCCCUGUACCUAAAUUCUAAAAUUUAUACUUCACCUUGCAAACACACUAUUCACACUCUAAAACUUUCCAUUUCCUCAUACACAGAUGUUUCAUGUCUAGAUGGAUCAAAGUCAAGCCACCAAACACUUUUGGCAACAUUCCAGGAUCUCCGAGCCCCCCCAAAGGUUCUCUCGGCGACUCUGGACAUUCAGAGUGAUGUGUUGAGUUCCCACAGCUGCACCUUCCCAUUACCUUAGACAGUGGGGACAGGAAGAGGGCAUUGUGUGGCCGGGAGUUUGGCACAAAAGGGUGGCUGAGUCCUCUGAUACCCCCAGAGAGAAAACCCCGUAGGCGUGCGCCCCGGUGGACUCUCUCUCUUUAUUCGAAUAAAGUUGAAGGACUCCUCUGUCUUCUUUUUGGGUGUAAACCUCUGUCAUUUGUGGAUUUUCCUGACAUUUUUCAGGUUGUCUGUAAAACUGCAACAGAGAUGGAGGAAAAACAAGUACAGGGAGGGAGAUGGUGCAGAGCAGUUUCCAGGGUUUACCUCAGCGAAGCUGAAUUGCUGUUGGUUCAAAACAUCAUCGAUGUCCUUACUAAAAAAGAAUUGCAGAAACAAAUGCAGAAAGAGAACACAGAUGUCUCCCAGGAAGAGAUACAAUGUGAAGAACUUGAGUGAGGGGAAGAGGACAGAUGCCCACACUUCUUCUCCAGCUCCUGCAACUAUAUAGGCAUUGCCACAACUUUUCCUUGAUUUUAAUCCCUGACUGUUAUUCCCUUAUCUAUUUCCUUGGAUCCCAGUUCUUGCCUUGGAGGCUAUUUCCUUCCUGAUAUUUCUUUGACUCUCAUUGAAUGUUACUUCCUACACAGUUAUUUCCUUGGAGGUUAUUUCCUAAUAAAUUCUGGUUUUGUUCA
This is a long non-coding RNA of Passer domesticus (house sparrow), 1901 nucleotides long. RefSeq lists it as uncharacterized. The transcript has 2 exons. The record is from RefSeq and is a predicted model, not a curated record. Lineage: Eukaryota; Metazoa; Chordata; Aves; Passeriformes; Passeridae.